AACGAACGCUGGCGGCAUGCCUAACACAUGCAAGUCGAACGAGACCUUCGGGUCUAGUGGCGCACGGGUGCGUAACGCGUGGGAAUCUGCCCUUGGGUCCGGAAUAACUCAGAGAAAUUUGAGCUAAUACCGGAUGAUGACGUAAGUCCAAAGAUUUAUCGCCCAGGGGAUGAGCCCGCGUAGGAUUAGCUAGUUGGUGAGGUAAAGGCUCACCAAGGCGACGAUCCUUAGCGGUCUGAGAGGAUGAUCAGCCACACUGGGACUGAGACACGGCCCAGACUCCUACGGGAGGCAGCAGUGGGGAAUAUUGGACAAUGGGCGAAAGCCUGAUCCAGCAAUGCCGCGUGAGUGAUGAAGGCCUUAGGGUUGUAAAGCUCUUUUACCCGGGAUGAUAAUGACAGUACCGGGAGAAUAA
This 415-nucleotide ribosomal RNA is filed under the name uncultured bacterium. RNAcentral's name for it is "bacterial SSU rRNA". It matches the Rfam family "Bacterial small subunit ribosomal RNA", at positions 29 to 489 of the family's 1533-position model. The record is from RNAcentral.